RNAcentral lists this long non-coding RNA (362 nucleotides) under Homo sapiens (human). RNAcentral describes it as "non-protein coding lnc-FIBIN-5:1". The record is from RNAcentral. Lineage: Eukaryota; Metazoa; Chordata; Mammalia; Primates; Hominidae.
CUUUGCUAUAGUGUUUUAGCUUGUGAAAGUCUCUGGAACCUUCCCUGCUUCAUCAAGGGAGUCACCUCUAUGUCAUUUUACUAAGGACAAAUACCUAAAACAAACAUGUUUAGACCCAGUGCCUGUCCAUUGCUGCAAGCAGUCCUGCACAUCUCCAAACAACAAGUUCAAGAUCAGCAUGAAAUUGGAAAUCCAGGAUCCUAGGAACACCCCAUCCACCUGUAUUUAUAGGCGCCUCCCUCCACCUGCACCUUGAUGGCAGUGUUAACAAGAAUGACUCUGUUAGCUGUCUGAAUCAGCUGAACUACAGCCUAGUGGGAACUGUGAGAAGAUUGGGGAUAUGCUGCAGACCCCUCUGGGCC